This 274-nucleotide ribosomal RNA is filed under the name uncultured bacterium. RNAcentral describes it as "partial 16S ribosomal RNA". It matches the Rfam family "Bacterial small subunit ribosomal RNA", at positions 84 to 354 of the family's 1533-position model. The record is from RNAcentral.
CCCGCCGGCGACCGGCGCACGGGUGAGUAACACGUAUGAAACCUGCCCGUAGCAGGGGGAUAAGCGGAAGAAAUUCCGUCUAAUACCGCGUAACAACCCGAGGAGGCAUCUCCUCGGGUUUAAAGGAAGCGAUUCCGGCUACGGAUGGUCAUGCGUCGCAUUAGCUAGUUGGCGGGGUAACGGCCCACCAAGGCGACGAUGCGUAGGGGCUCUGAGAGGAAGGUCCCCCACACUGGUACUGAGACACGGACCAGACUCCUACGGGAGGCAGCAG